This 29-nucleotide small RNA is filed under the name Bombyx mori (domestic silkworm). RNAcentral describes it as "ovarian small RNA-24129". Lineage: Eukaryota; Metazoa; Arthropoda; Insecta; Lepidoptera; Bombycidae. The record is from RNAcentral.
UAUUAUGUGAACACUUCAGUGCCCCAGGA